AUACGGAGGGUGCAAGCGUUAUUCGGAAUCACUGGGCGUAAAGGACGCGUAGGCGGGUUAGCAAGUCAGAUGUGAAAUCCUACAGCUUAACUGUAGAACUGCAUUUGAAACUGCUAACCUAGAGUAUGGGAGGGGGAGAUGGAAUUAGUGGUGUAGGGGUAAAAUCCGUAGAUAUCACUAGGAAUACCGAAAGCGAAGGCGAUCUCCUGGAACAUAACUGACGCUAAGGCGUGAAAGCGUGGGGAGCAAACAGGAUUAGAAACCCUAGUAGUCC
Molecule: ribosomal RNA, 274 nt
Filed under: uncultured bacterium
Lineage: Bacteria
Description: partial 16S ribosomal RNA
Rfam family: Bacterial small subunit ribosomal RNA
Source: RNAcentral